GUCAGUCACAUACCCAAAGACAUUUCUUUUUCGUUUUUAUAGUCCCAGGAGACUCCUGCUGAUCGGCGGUUCCUUGAUGUGAUUUUAAAACAAUUUUCAGAAGGACAGUGUUCUUGGGAUGAAUUGUGACCCCCUCAAAAUAUUCCUAUGUUGAAUUUCCUCAGUACCUCAGAAUGUUAUUAGAGAAAGUAUCUUUACAAAGGUAAUCAAGUUAAAAUGAGGUCAUUAGGAUGGACCCUAAUCUACUAUGGCUGGUGUCCUUACAAGAAGAGGAAAUGUGGACAGACAGGAAGAGAGGAAAGAGACACAGGGAGAAGGCCCUCUACAAGCCACCAAGAGAGGCUGCAUCCUUCACAGAUCCCUCCCUCACAGCCAUCAGAGGGAAUCAAGCUUGCUGCUUGAUUUCAGACUUCCAGGCUCCAGAACUGUGAAACAAUAAGUUUCUGUUGUUUAAGCCACCCAGUUUGUGGUACCUGGUUACAGCAGCCCUGGGAAACUAAUACAGAGAGUAAACAACAACUCCUUUAGACAGAAAAAAAGACUCCAUUCAUGUCUUUUCUAAUCACUGGUAAAUUCAAGCAUUUUACAGGAUAGUUUAGUUUCUCUAUGGGAGCAUACACAUUGUAUGUUUAUUAUAUGUGUGACUUGGUAUAGGAGAGAGAAAGAGAGAGACAGAGAGAGGGAAACCAUGCCUUUAAAACUUGUGAGCGGGCCAAUGGAGUGUUAGGCACAUAUAAUCAGCUAAAUUUAACAAAUAUUUAUUGAUCUUACCAUGUGGCAGGUGCUUGGCUAGAGACUCAGAAAGCACAGUCCCUGCUUUCAUGGAAUUCACAAUCUGGCAGAAAAAAACACAAGUGUAUAAAUAAUGACACUUCAGAGUGAUAAGAUCAGUGAUUAAAGUGUGUGCAGAGUGCAAAGGGAAUACAAGGAAGAAGUGACGAUCUCAAGUAAAUGGGACCCAUCAGGGAUGGCUUCUCAGAGGAGGGUCCAAGCUGAGUUAAAAUCUGCAAUCUUAUCCUUGAGGUCAACCUACCAAUCAAUGAGAUAGGUUGCAUUUAUAAAUGCAAACAGUUUGAAUAUGUUUUCAGGAGCAGAAAAAUCACUUGCGGAUCAUUGCAUCGUUGUUUAUAACAGCAAAAAAAGAGGAAAUAAUCCACAUCUUUAGUAAUAUAUAGUAUUAAGUAAACUAUGUAUUUACAACUACGAAUAUUGUAUAUUCAUCCAAUGGUCAACCAUGGAAAACUUAAAAUGAGGUAAAGCUACAUGUGCCAUCAUGGAAAGAUCUUCAAGAUGUAUUGCUAAGUGAACAAAGUAAAUGGUAGACCAAUGCACAUAGUAUGAUACAAUUAUGUUAUUCAUAAAAGGAUAUGCAAAUACUUACUUUUGCUUUUUGUUUUUUCUGCUCCUGAAGGUGACCUUAACUAAUAGUUACUUACAAUUCUGAAUGCAUGGCAAGAACUCCACAAGAAUACAUUAAAACUGACAUCAUUAAUUGCCCAGAAGGACAGGGAGGAGAGGCAGAGCUGGAUUAAUCUGAUUGAAUGACCUGGAUCAUUUAUGGCAUGAAGGGAAGACAGCUGUUGAAUUCCAGCCCCUGACAGAAGGCUCCAGACCGUCAAUGAUAGCUUGGCUCUGCUAGUUUGAUGCAUCAGACACUCCCUCCCCAAAGUGCUGCCUGUGUCAAUUUUUCUUAACAAAUAGAAUAUUGUAUAGAGAGUGAGCUUUUUGUAAAGCAAAAUAUAAGUGUUGCGAUUAGCAGCAGUAUCUCUUAAAGCUAAAGAUGCAAAGUCAAGUUUAAUUAACCAGGUUUGUGUUUGACUGAUUUUUUUAAAGGCAGUAAAGAAUUUUAAGAAUAAUUGGUUACAUAAUCUAAUAGGCUUUUCACUUUUAUUUGGCAGAUUUAGUAACAAUUAGACAAUUGAUAGUGACAUCAAAAUGCUCAACUAAUUUUCCAACAUUUUUGAUUAGUUAACUGAAUCCAAUCAGAAUUUUUUAAAAGACAGUUUCUAUAUGUAGACAGUAUCCCUUGUGUUUAACUAAUGAAAGAAGAUUAUACAAAAGGAAAGUAUCAAGAUUUUAAAUAUUGACUUCUAUAAAUCGAUUUUGUCUAAUCAAAAAUUUACAGUGACAUACACCAACAAGUUAAGUGUCUAGGUCUAGAUGAACUUUAUAUGCAUCUUUGUAUUUUUCUGCAAACUCAAGGUUUUUUUUAAGGACUAUUAUAUUCUUCUAGUGUUUUCUGAAAGUUUGCAUAUGCUACCCUUACAAUAAAUGGAACAACCAAGGUUUUAAAAUCAAAUUACAAUAAAAUAAUGUUUUCUUUCCUG
This 2327-nucleotide long non-coding RNA is filed under the name Homo sapiens (human). Its description in RNAcentral is "HSALNT0008490". The record is from RNAcentral. Lineage: Eukaryota; Metazoa; Chordata; Mammalia; Primates; Hominidae.